This 236-nucleotide long non-coding RNA is filed under the name Gossypium barbadense (sea-island cotton). RNAcentral's name for it is "long non-coding RNA (GBAR_LNC019209)". The record is from RNAcentral. Lineage: Eukaryota; Viridiplantae; Streptophyta; Magnoliopsida; Malvales; Malvaceae.
UACACUCAUCUCCUAGGCAAAAGAUCCCAUAGCAAAGAUGGUAGUUGUGUUGGAAAAAUGAAAACAAUUUUCAAUUCUAGCAGAAGUUUAAAAUUGUUGAAAAUCGGUCCGAUUGUAAUAAACCUUUUUUUCCGAAAAGUACAUGUGCUUUGUGCGAGAUGGAUCUGUAUCGUUAUCGACUUUCAAUCGAAUGACAUUCUCUGCUAUCCUCGUACCUUGAAUUUCACCGAGUGUGG